GGGAUCGCAGCUGGUCUCAACCUUGGGCUUCACAUCUGGCACCACUGGAUAUGGUGCUGGUGUCGGUAGGUUC
This 73-nucleotide transfer RNA is filed under the name Isochrysis galbana. RNAcentral describes it as "partial Selenocysteine transfer RNA". The record is from RNAcentral. Lineage: Eukaryota; Haptophyta; Isochrysidales; Isochrysidaceae.